UGGCGGCGUGCUUAACACAUGCAAGUCGAGCGAAGCGCCUUCUGAUUCUCGGAUGAAGAAGGGAUGACUGAGCGGCGGACGGGUGAGUAACGCGUGGGGAACCUGCCCCAUACCGGGGGAUAACAGUUAGAAAUGACUGCUAAUACCGCAUAAGCGCACACACAGGCAUCUGUGAGUGUGAAAAACUCCGGUGGUAUGGGAUGGACCCGCGUCGGAUUAGCCAGUUGGCGGGGUAACGGCCCACCAAAGCGACGAUCCGUAGCCGGCCUGAGAGGGCGACCGGCCACAUUGGGACUGAGACACGGCCCAAACUCCUACGGGAGGCAGCAGUGGGGAAUAUUACACAAUGGGGGAAACCCUGAUGCAGCGACGCCGCGUGAGUGAUGAAGUAUUUCGGUAUGUAAAGCUCUAUCAGCAGGGAAGAAGACGACGGUACCUGACUAAGAAGCCCCGGCUAACUACGUGCCAGCCGCGGC
This 476-nucleotide ribosomal RNA is filed under the name uncultured bacterium. RNAcentral's name for it is "bacterial SSU rRNA". It matches the Rfam family "Bacterial small subunit ribosomal RNA", at positions 37 to 518 of the family's 1533-position model. The record is from RNAcentral.